This is a long non-coding RNA of Ixodes scapularis (black-legged tick), 316 nucleotides long. RefSeq lists it as uncharacterized. Lineage: Eukaryota; Metazoa; Arthropoda; Arachnida; Ixodida; Ixodidae. The record is from RefSeq and is a predicted model, not a curated record. The transcript is spliced from 3 exons.
GCUAGCCCCAUUCUAGUCAAAUCCGCUGCCCGUGUUCCAAUCCAAUCCAAAUUAAAACACGUGUUUCCGCGCUUUCCGCAUUCGUGAAGUCGUCAAGGUUGCGCAAACUUCCGACUACUGCUUCGACGUUCCGAGACACCAAGGCGUGCCACAGGCCGGCGUCCAAGGGACUUGCCAAUGGUUCGCUCCCCUCCGAGGCAUUGGCGACGCGGGAAACGGCCGUUCGUCUUCUACGGUACUCUUCAUGUACAGAUCUGCGCCACUCCAGUCAAGCUCCUGCAACAAGGGAAAAGAAUGAGUCUUUACUUGCGACGGA